Long non-coding RNA from Capra hircus (goat), 455 nucleotides. RefSeq lists it as uncharacterized. The transcript has 4 exons. Lineage: Eukaryota; Metazoa; Chordata; Mammalia; Artiodactyla; Bovidae. The record is from RefSeq and is a predicted model, not a curated record.
GUAGCAAUGAAUUUCAACUCAUUAGUGGGGACAAGGACUAUCUCAUAGUGCGUGAUCUCAACGUGGAUGCAGAUGGCAAGGAGACAGAACUGGUGGGAUUAUUAGGCGCAGGAGGUAAUGUUGAUCCGAAACACGAAGAGGAGUUCAGGAAUGCGGUGAGAGAAAAAGGGAUUCCAGAAGAAAAUAUCCAGAAUUUUAUCGAUCAUGAUGACUGUCCAGAGGAGAGAAAACUAGUGACUGUGGUCGUUUAGUGAGUCACUGAGACCAGACACGUCCUCGUCUCCGUGGAAUCAAGAUCAACAACACAAAGACGACUUUCCUGGUUCCUGAUUAACAUGAUCCUGCUCUCUUCACGCUCACAAUCCCUCUCCCAUCUCAUCUCUCCUCGUCACUAAAUCAUGUCCUCACUGGUGUUAUUUGAUUGCGGAGGGUUUAAAUAAAUUGAUUUAAUAUCU